RNAcentral lists this long non-coding RNA (459 nucleotides) under Solanum tuberosum (potato). RNAcentral describes it as "long non-coding RNA (STUB_LNC009452)". The record is from RNAcentral. Lineage: Eukaryota; Viridiplantae; Streptophyta; Magnoliopsida; Solanales; Solanaceae.
AGGUUCGUAUACAUUUCUAUCAUGUAGUUUUGGUCGAUGGAUGCCUUAAUUUAGCAAACUGUUGGACUGACGAUCUGUUUUCUAUGACAUUGUGGACAACUAUGGAUGGGUGAUCUGGCAUAAUAGUCUGCUUCAUUGUGUAGUGCAUAAAACUAGCAUUGAGUUUGUUCACCAAGUGUAAUCUCCUUUAUUGGCAGGUGGAUGCUCCUGCAGAGAAGAAAAACGAACCGGAGCCAUCAUUUGAGAUCUUAACCAACCCUGCUAGAGUAGUUCCAGCUCAAGAGAAAUUCAUUAAAUUUUUGGAAGAUAGCAGAUACGUACCAGUUAAAUCAUCACCUUCCGGAUUUGUGCUUCUGAGGGAUCUACGUCCUGAUGAACCUGAAGUAUUGUCCCUCACCGAUGCACCCUCAUCAACUGCAUCCAGCACUGGCGGUGGAUCAACUGGACAACAAGCCCCGG